Molecule: ribosomal RNA, 1154 nt
Filed under: Telluria mixta
Lineage: Bacteria; Pseudomonadati; Pseudomonadota; Betaproteobacteria; Burkholderiales; Oxalobacteraceae
Description: partial 23S ribosomal RNA
Rfam family: Bacterial large subunit ribosomal RNA
Source: RNAcentral
GAAUAAGUGCACAUGGUGGAUGCCUUGGCGAUUACAGGCGAUGAAGGACGUAGUAGCUUGCGAUAAGCUGCGGGGAGUGAGCAAACACACUUUGAUCCGCAGAUUUCCGAAUGGGGAAACCCGGCCUUUUAGGUCAUUGCAUACUGAAUACAUAGGUAUGCAAAGCGAACGCGGCGAACUGAAACAUCUAAGUAGCUGCAGGAAAAGAAAUCAACCGAGAUUCCCAAAGUAGUGGCGAGCGAAAUGGGAUGAGCCUUGUACGUGAUAGUCGGACUGAUAGUGGAAUCCUUUGGAAACAGGAGCCAUAGCGGGUGAUAGCCCCGUACACGAAAUCAGACCGGUGGUACUAAGCGUACGACAAGUAGGGCGGGACACGAGAAAUCCUGUCUGAAUAUGGGGGGACCAUCCUCCAAGGCUAAAUACUCGUAAUCGACCGAUAGUGAACCAGUACCGUGAGGGAAAGGCGAAAAGAACCCCGGGAGGGGAGUGAAAUAGAUCCUGAAACCGUGUGCAUACAAACAGUCGGAGCCUCUUCGUGGGGUGACGGCGUACCUUUUGUAUAAUGGGUCAGCGACUUACAUUCAGUGGCGAGGUUAACCGAAUAGGGGAGCCGUAGAGAAAUCGAGUCCGAACAGGGCGACAGUCGCUGGGUGUAGACCCGAAACCAGGUGAUCUACCCAUGGCCAGGAUGAAGGUGCGGUAACACGCCCUGGAGGUCCGAACCCACUAAUGUUGAAAAAUUAGGGGAUGAGCUGUGGGUAGGGGUGAAAGGCUAAACAAACCUGGAAAUAGCUGGUUCUCUCCGAAAACUAUUUAGGUAGUGCCUCAAGUAUCACCAUCGGGGGUAGAGCACUGUUAUGGCUAGGGGGUCAUUGCGACUUACCAAACCAUUGCAAACUCCGAAUACCGAUGAGUGCGAGCUUGGGAGACAGACGUCGGGUGCUAACGUCCGGCGUCAAGAGGGAAACAACCCAGACCGCCAGCUAAGGUCCCAAAGAUUGGCUAAGUGGAAAACGAAGUGGGAAGGCUAAAACAGUCAGGAUGUUGGCUUAGAAGCAGCCAUCAUUUAAAGAAAGCGUAAUAGCUCACUGAUCGAGUCGUCCUGCGCGGAAGAUGUAACGGGGCUAAGCCAGUCACCGAAGCUGCGGAUAUGU